AUGGCGAUGAGCUUCUUGUCCACCGCUAACACAUCGUUCGUGCCCUUCCGCCGCCUCUCCCGCCACAAGCCCACCGCCGCCCCCUCGCUCCCGUUCCCCAUCAAUCGCUGCCGCUCACCCUCCUGCUCCCUUCUCCCUUCCCAGCGCCGGCGCCUCUUCUCUUCCAAGACCCCCACCACCAACCUCCUCUCAUCAAUCACGGCCGCCACGAGAACCCUGCUCUUCCUUCUCGUCGCCUCCAUCCUCUCCCUCUCCGGCGUCCGGCGCCCCCUCCCGUCACUCGCCGCCCCUCCCCCACCCACGCAGCAACCGCAAGACGACACCAAGGGACAGCAAGAAGAAGAACCCGACCAAGGGGAUCAGGAAGAGGAGGACGAGGCGGAGUGGUUUCGGAAGGAGGAGGAGGAGGUGGAGGCGGCCUGGAUGCAGCCAAGCGACGACGAGGAGGAGGAAGAGGACGACGACGAGGUCCAGAUGUACCUGGAGGUCCUGAGCGAGGACCCGGGCGACGUGGACGCGCUCAAGUGCGUGCUCUUCGCCAGGAUGCGGCGCAAGGACUGGGGCGGCGCGCUGCGCUACGCGGCGCAGCUGCGGGAGGCCGAGCCCGGCGAGGUGGAGUGGCGGCUCAUGGAGGCGCUGCUGCACGAGCUCAAGGGGGACAUCGCCACCGCCGAGCGGCUCUUCCAGGAGGUCCUCGCGGAGAAGCCCCUCCUCGUCCGGGCUCUCCAUGGACUCGCAUUGUGCAUGCAUAAAAGACUCGAAGGACCAACUGUUUUUGAGAUGCUGGAGAAAGCUUUGCAACUCGUAGUAUCCGAGGAAAGGGUCCCAGAAGAGCGCAACAUAAAGCUUCUGAUUGCACAGAUGCAUGUUGUCAAGGGUGACCUGGAUGUUGCAUCAGAGAAAUUGAGAACUCUUAUUAAUGAGGAUCCAAGGGACUUUCGGCCUCAUCUUUGCCAGGGCAUUGUAUAUGCACUUUUGGACAAAAAGGAAGAAGCAGACGAGCAAUUUGAUGUGUACAGAAGCCUUGUGCCGGACGAGUUCCCGGACAAGAGUUUUAUCAAUGAUGUUAUACUAUUGGCCAAAGUGGAGUCAAAAGAUCGGCUACAGAAGGACUUUAGAUCAGAGUACCUAUCUAAAAAGUGA
This 1143-nucleotide ribosomal RNA is filed under the name Triticum aestivum (bread wheat). RNAcentral's name for it is "partial small subunit ribosomal RNA". Lineage: Eukaryota; Viridiplantae; Streptophyta; Magnoliopsida; Poales; Poaceae. The record is from RNAcentral.